UGAGGAAUAUUGGUCAAUGGGCGAGAGCCCGAACCAGCCAAGUAGCGUGCAGGAUGACGGCCCUAUGGGUUGUAAACUGCUUUUAUGUGGGGAUAAAGUGCGUGACGUGUCAUGCAUUGCAGGUACCACAUGAAUAAGGACCGGCUAAUUCCGUGCCAGCAGCCGCGGUAAUACGGAAGGUCCGGGCGUUAUCCGGAUUUAUUGGGUUUAAAGGGAGCGUAGGCUGUCUAUUAAGCGUGUUGUGAAAUUUACCGGCUCAACCGGUGGCUUGCAGCGCGAACUGGUCGACUUGAGUAUGCAGGAAGUAGGCGGAAUUCAUGGUGUAUCGGUGAAAUGCUUAGAUAUCAUGACGAACUCCGAUUGCGCAGGCAGCUUACUGUAGCAUAACUGACGAUGAUGCUCGAAAGUGCGGGUAUCAAACAGG
This 424-nucleotide ribosomal RNA is filed under the name Fusobacteriota bacterium. RNAcentral describes it as "Fusobacteria bacterium partial 16S ribosomal RNA". It matches the Rfam family "Bacterial small subunit ribosomal RNA", at positions 355 to 776 of the family's 1533-position model. The record is from RNAcentral. Lineage: Bacteria; Fusobacteriati; Fusobacteriota.